Pseudonaja textilis is the source of this 2357-nucleotide long non-coding RNA. The record is from Ensembl. Lineage: Eukaryota; Metazoa; Chordata; Lepidosauria; Squamata; Elapidae.
AUCAGUUGCAUAAACUAGCUUCAGGCCAUAGAGUUCAGGUGAAGGCUAGAAAUGUAUUAAUAGGAAGAUAAUGUUCAUUCACUCCUCUUUUUUAUAAUUGUUUUUUGUUUAGACCAAAGAGGAAGUCAUUGCCACUGCUAUUCGAGUUAUGGCUGGAGGGGAAGCCCUGGUGAAAUUUGCUGGCAGAAUUACAAAGGAUUGCAUAGAUGAAAGACGUGCAGCUGACCUACUGUGUGCCUUGGAGAAAACCAAAACAAUUAACUAUCAACUUAGCAUCAUUACCCGGGUAAUUGCAUCAACAGGUAGCAGUAGGUCAUCUGUGGAACACCUUGUAAGCAAUGCUCAAAAUCUCUUCCAGGGAGUUCUUCAAAUGUUUAUGGCAGCAGAAGCAGCUUGUGUCAAAGGUUUGCAACACCCAUCCCCUCAUACAAAAGAAUCAAAUACAGGUGCAUUUUGCAGCCAAUGGAGGAAGAGUCUUCAGUGAUAUGGGGCCAAGGAAAGUUUGAAUUCAGACAAAGAGAAACUGGGACUCUGCAAAACAGGACUGUGGCCCAGCCCACUUUCACCUCUGUGAUCUUGGAACUUUAUUAUAAUAGCAGUAAAUAGUCCAGUCCCUCUAAAUACAGGUAGUCCUCACUUAGCAACUGCUUCAUUCAACAAUCGUUCAAAAUUAUAACGAUGUUGAAAAAAUGACUUUACAACCAAUGCCCACAUUUAUAACUUUUGCAGUGUCCCCCAGUCACGAUUACUAUUAUAGCCACUAUAUGUUGCUCUCUGUCCUGACCUGUUGUUUUUCUUUUCUUUUCUCCCUGGUAGAUUGGAGCAAUAGGGAAUACAAGAGAAUAAGCUGGUACACCAUCAGGAAUACACAUUCCUUUCAAUGUGUAUGCCCAUUGUAUAUCUUCUUACUCUCUUAUAAUCCCUUUCUUUCCAAUCAAUGUAACUAGAAACAUUCCCUUUUUGCUGGGAUGAGCAGUCCAGAAAGUGGAGGAGUGGGAAAAAGGAAAGCACAGUCACAUGAUUUCCCAUGCUUAACAAUGGAGCUGUUGAACCCAAUAUUGGUCACUAAGUGAGGUCUCCCAGUAUGAUGAAACUAUUGAAAGUAUAAAGCUUAAGCACAAUUAGGAAAAUUAGCAUUAAAAUAGGGAGUUAGGAUGAAUAAGGAAACAUGUUAUCUAAGACAGUUUUACCCCACUUAUUGCCCUCCAGAUUUAUUGACUGCCAAGUCCUAUGAUCUCAGGAGUUCUUGGUGCUCUCUGAUGUUGUUACCAAGUUGGGUAAUGAAACAUCCGCAAGCAAACAAGGGAGCUAAGAGAGCACCAAAGACACCACAAUUCAAGCCUGAGCUACUUGUAUUCUUUCUGUUGGACCCUACUUCACAUGAUUUGGACAAACUGCUAAAAGAGGAUUGUACUCGAAGAAAUGAGCUUCUAGAUGUAAUGUUUUCCGCUUUCCCAUAGGAACAUUUAUUUUUAUCUGUAUUAGUUUUCGCUUACAUAGAAUGUCACGGAAUAUUAUUGCUUGCAUGCUCUUGAUUUUGGUAGGUAUAGACACAUCACAGCAUCGGAGUAUCUUCUCAAAGGCCUUCAUGGUGGCACCACAUGUACCACUUUGUGACAUAUUUCUUGACUGCAUGUUUCUUUACUGCUGAUUAAUUCUUAAAGCAUUAGCUAUCUAUCACUUCAAAAUCUUGGCAGAUUCCCAAGGCAACAUGUGCUGUGCAGAUAGGGUCCUAUCCCUAAAGACUGAAUGCUAAUAUAAAAUAAAUUUAUUCUUCCCCCUAAAAGAUUUAUUUUUCAAUUAAAGUGGACAGUUUCUGUGAUAUUAAAGGUGGGGAAAAAAAUUCUGAAGUGGUUUGUUUUAUUGGUCUGUUUUUUUUAACAUUGUACAAACCUGGCAUUUUUAACAGGGCUGUGUAGUUUUUUUUAUAUCCACCGUAAAUUGGGAAUAUCUUGUAAGGUAUCUUAGAUGUUGAUGUCAUAAGGUAAAGGUUUUCCCUGUCCAGUUGUUUCCAACUCUAGGGGGCAGCGCUAUCUCUGUUCUUUAGUCUAGGAAGCCAGAGUUGUCCAAAGACAUUUCCAUAAUCAUGUGGCCAGCAUGAAUAUGCCAAGGUGCCCAGAACGCUGUUAGUUUCUCACCAGCAGUGCUUGUUCAUCUACUUGCAUUUGCAUUCUUUCGAACUGCUAAGUGGGCAGGAGCUGAGGCAAGUAACAGAAUCUCAUGCUAUCAAACAGCACUUAGAUCUCAAACCUGGGCUGUCAGCCAGCUGACAAGCUCAGCAUCUUUAACCAUUGAGUCACCAUGCAUCUCCUACCUUUAACAUACCUUAAACCAUAACCUGUUAACUAUGUCUUUUU